This 1029-nucleotide ribosomal RNA is filed under the name Triticum aestivum (bread wheat). RNAcentral's name for it is "partial small subunit ribosomal RNA". Lineage: Eukaryota; Viridiplantae; Streptophyta; Magnoliopsida; Poales; Poaceae. The record is from RNAcentral.
AUGAAGAGAUUCAAAAAAUAUUUCAAAGGUUGGGGAUCUAACUUGUUUGGGAAAUCUAGAAAGAAAAGGAGAGAGCUUAGAGAGGAACUUGAACAUCUAGAGAAACUAGAAGAGACUGAUGUGCUUUCCCCUGAGUUAUACUGUAAAAAGGUUGAGAUUUUGGUAGAAUUACAUAAUCUGCUAGUGGAAGAGGAGAUUGCAUGGAUGCAAAAGUCCCAUGAAAACUGGUUGCUGAAAGGGGAUAGUAAUACUGACUACUUUCACAUAAUAGUGAACGGUAGAAGGAGGAGGAAUACUAUUUUCUCACUUAGCUGUGGAGAUGAGAUGAUAGAGGGAACAAAAAAUCUGUUAAAACAUGCAACUGAGUUCUAUAAAGAACUUUUUGGACCUGCAGCUGGAAAUCUAUGCAAAUUGAGGGAUGAUAUGUGGGAGCCAAAUGAGAAGUUGACAGAUAUUGACAACUUCAUUCUUACUAGGCCCUUUUCUGAAACAGAAAUAAAAAAUGCUCUCUUCUCUAUGAAACCAAAUAAAGCUCCAGGUCCAAAUAAUAUCCCCAUUAAAUUUUUCCAACAUUGCUGGGAGAUAGUAAAAAACGAGGUAAUGCUCCUGUUUGAGUGGUUUCAUGACAAUAAGCUAGAUGUGCAGCGCUUGAAUUAUGGAAUCAUCACGCUACUACCUAAAGUUGCUGGUGCUAAUAAAAUUCAUCAGUUUCGCCCCAUAUGCGUGCUGAGAUGCAUUUAUGAACUAAUCACUAAGACGCUUACUAUUAGACUAGAACCUUAUGUGGAUAUCCUCUUUAGUAGACACCAAAAUGCUUUUAUUAAGAAAAGAGAUAUUAUGGAUGGAAUCAUGUCUUUACAUGAAAUUCUCCAUCAUACUUAUAGUAAGAAAAAAUCUGGGAUCGUGUUGAAACUAGACUUCGAGAAAGCUUACGACAAAGUUAACUGGGAUUUCCUGUUAAAUUGUCAUAAGAUGAGGGAGUUUCAUCCACAAUGGAUUGAAUGGGUAAGGAAAAUUCUGGUAGGAUAG